Molecule: ribosomal RNA, 398 nt
Filed under: uncultured bacterium
Lineage: Bacteria
Description: bacterial SSU rRNA
Rfam family: Bacterial small subunit ribosomal RNA
Source: RNAcentral
AAUUUUCCACAAUGGGGGCAACCCUGAUGGAGCAACGCCGCGUGCAGGAUGAAGGCCCUAGGGUCGUAAACUGCUUUUAUAUGUGAAGACAUCGACGGUAGCAUAUGAAUAAGGAUCGGCUAACUCCGUGCCAGCAGCCGCGGUCAUACGGGGGAUCCAAGCGUUAUCCGGAAUUACUGGGCGUAAAGAGUUGCGUAGGCGGUUAAGUAAGCAAAUAGUGAAAGCGUCCCGCUCAACGGGAUAUACAUUAUUUGAACUACUUUGACUAGAGGAUGAGAGAGGUAGCUGGAAUUCCCUGUGUAGGAGUGAAAUCCGUAGAUAUAGGGAGGAACACCGAUGGCGUAAGCAGGCUACUGGCUCAUUCCUGACACUCAGGCACGAAAGCGUGGGGAGCGACC